AAAAAGGCUGUGAAGGUGUCAGUAGAUGUUUAUCUUCUGUCAGAGAUGAGGAGUCACCGGCUGAAAGCUCCUCUCAGUUCAGAUAACCGUUGAGAUUCCCACCGGAGCCGCAUUUCUGAAACAACAGUAGGAAAUGACGUCACUGUGCGUUAAACAGAAACGAGUGCCCGCUGUAUUUUUACAGAUGGGAACAAGGGUGGUACCACGGACUUUACAGGCUUCGUCCCUUUU
RNAcentral lists this non-coding RNA (231 nucleotides) under Blautia sp. RNAcentral's name for it is "T-box sequence". It matches the Rfam family "T-box leader". From Rfam's summary of the family: Uncharged tRNA acts as the effector for transcription antitermination of genes in the T-box leader family. Lineage: Bacteria; Bacillati; Bacillota; Clostridia; Lachnospirales; Lachnospiraceae. The record is from RNAcentral.